RNAcentral lists this ribosomal RNA (508 nucleotides) under uncultured bacterium. Its description in RNAcentral is "bacterial SSU rRNA". It matches the Rfam family "Bacterial small subunit ribosomal RNA", at positions 15 to 518 of the family's 1533-position model. The record is from RNAcentral.
GAUCCUGGCUUAGGAUGAACGCUAGCGGCAGGCUUAACACAUGCAAGUCGAGGGGCAACGCGAGUAGCAAUACUUGGCGGCGACCGGCGCAAGGGUGCGUAACGCGUGAGCAACAUGCCCGUAUCAGGGGGAUAAUCCAGGGAAACUUGGUCUAAUACCCCAUAGUAAUUUUGUAAGGCAUCUUAUAAGAUUUAAAGCUUUGGUGGAUACGGAUUGGCUCGCGUGACAUUAGCUGGAUGGUAAGGUAACGGCUUACCAUGGCUAUGAUGUCUAGGGGUUCUGAGAGGAAGGUCCCCCACACUGGAACUGAGACACGGUCCAGACUCCUACGGGAGGCAGCAGUGAGGAAUAUUGGACAAUGGAUGGAAAUCUGAUCCAGCCAUGCCGCGUGAAGGAAGAAGGUCCUAUGGAUUGUAAACUUCUUUUGUAUGGGAGCAAUAAGGCCUACGAGUAGGUUGAUGAGAGUACCAUACGAAUAAGCACCGGCUAACUCCGUGCCAGCCGCUGC